UGAUACAAAUAAUUGAAUUGAUAUUAAAUGACCACACAGUACACCUCAGUUACAAAAUUCAAAAGUAUUCUUUAUCAUUCGUUUGAGCAGGCGAUCUAGUGAUUUAUGGAAUCAGGUAUUGCAAAACCAUCUUUUGACUCUCAAAUCGAUGACGACCUGUUUUACUGGCAUUUUAACUGCUUUCACAUAGCGAACGUUGAAGCUCAGGAACCGUUGCUGUGAAUACAAACAUGUGUAUUUCACUGCUUCAGUUCGACUUUUAGACAAAGAAAUAUCCCAGAAAGAAAGCGAGAUUAAACCCACCAUUUGUUUAGGAAUAUGACUAUGCUAAAGUCAGGAAUGUGUCAGUUGUUUUUCUGCCGUUUUUUUAAUCAAUGUUUUUUUUCAACAAGGAUCUUUGUUUUAUAAACAUCUAUGACUGUGCAUAAAACUUAACGGAAAUCAGUUGAGACAAUCUAAACUUUAUGACAACAUAAAACUAAUGAAGAACAGACAGACAGACUUUUAUUUUUAUAAGAAAACUAGUUGGUGUAGUAUUAUAAAAUCAUCAGACCCAAUGGCAUUGAACCAUCAAUCUUUUCACAAACAAAAGUGAAGUGGAAUAAGUCAUGUAAAUCCAAUCUUUUUUGAUGUACCAAUUACAAAAAUAAAUCAUCACUUGUUUAAAGAAAGAUUUGAUUGUUUUUUAUGGACUUUUUGAAAUAAUGAAUAAGUGGCAACAAAUCUUUCGAGAUCCUUUUCACGAUCAUCAAAAUGCUGUACACGAUCUUUCACGAUCCAAAAUAUCAAUUUUAUACAAAUAUUACAGUUUUUGCAAAGUUUCUGAACAAAAAAAAAUCAUCAAAAUAACGAUAAGAACUAAUCAAGCAGUACUGUUGAAUGAUAUUGUUUAAGAAAAGUAGUUUAUGUACCGGUAUUAAAAA
This 923-nucleotide long non-coding RNA is filed under the name Mytilus galloprovincialis (Mediterranean mussel). The record is from RNAcentral. Lineage: Eukaryota; Metazoa; Mollusca; Bivalvia; Mytilida; Mytilidae.